ACGUCAUUUCGGUCCCGCGUCAUUUCGGACUCAGCACAAACGUCGUUUCGGACUCAGUAUGGCGACUUUUCGGACUUACUCGGUGUCAUUUCGGACUCAGUCAAACGACAUUUAGGACUCGGACCGGCGACAUUUCGGACUCGGACUCGGACUCAAAUAAAACUUAAAAUUAUGUGUGUAUAUAUUAGUAAUAGCUGUUUUUCUUUCGUUGUAGGUGAGGCUCAAGACAGACCAUUCACAUUAAUAAAGAUUUAAACAUUGUUAGUCUUGUUUUAUUUAUCCCAUACAGGCCAUUACUUGACAACACGCCUUUGAACUUGAACUUGAAGUAAAACCUAUGCUACUUGCCUUUUUUGUAUUUGUUUAUUUACUUGAUCGGAUAUUAUUGUAUUUUGAUGAGUAAAUUUUGAUUGUUGACGAUGAAUUAGUUUAGAUUGUUGACGAUAAUCGAUCCGCGAUUGUUGUUUUAAUCUAGCGAUUAGUGAAUCCAGCGAUUAGUGAAACCAUCCCAUUGUUGUAUUUAAGAUUAAUAGCGAUAAUUGAUCGGCGUUUCUAAUAGCCGCUAAGAAAUGAUUGAGAAAUAAAAACACUGAUCGGCGUUUCUAAUAGCCGCUAAGAAAUGAUUGAGAAAUAAAAACACUGCAACUCGUAUUUAAUCUGGUGUUGAUUAAUGAAAGCAAGCUGAGAUUAAUGAAGCCGUUAAGAAAUGAUUGAGCCCAAGCUCAAAUGUAUUAUAUAUAUGUGCCAUAUUUCAAUUCAAAUCAUUCUCAAUUUUUACACGAAUCUAUCAUGGCUAGUGGAAAUUGCGUAAAGUGUACCAAUCCUGUCCGUCCUCGACAAGAAGGCCUCCAGUGCGAUUCUUGUCUUUUAUGGCAACAUCGAACCUGCGAUUCCGGUACGUAAUGAAAUUUUCUUUAUUGUUAUUUAUUAAAACGUUUUAAAUUUGUCGUUUCUUGUAAGUUAUUGUUAUUUAUUAAAACGUUUUAAAUUUGUCGUUUCUUGUAAGUUAUUGUUAUUUAUUAAAACGUUUUAAAUUUGUCGUUUCUUGUAAGUUAUUGUUAUUUAUUGAAACGUUAUAAAUUUGUCGUUUCAGCUUGUAAGUUAUUGUUAUUUAUUGAAACGUUAUAAAUUUGUCGUUAUUGUUAUUUAUUGACACGUACCCGCAAUCCGGGAAUAUUAUUAUUUUAUUUAUCACUAUUUCAGGCAUCACUCGGGAUGAGUACAGGAGUUUAAACCGACAUAGAACUGCUUUUGAAUGGAAAUGCUGUAGAUGUGUUGCCCCGCUCCCCCCUACAGAAGAAGAAAUGGACAUCGAAGAAUCAUUCACCAUUGAACGACCAUACCAGCUACCUGAUCCGGUUAUCGAGUCUUCAAUGUCUGAAGAUGAGCAAGAUAUUAGCGUAUUUGCUGAAGAAGAACCUGAAUUAGCAUACACUAUAGAAGAGGCAGCAACAACACGUGGGAAAAAGAAGCUGUUUGACAACAUUGGUUUUGCUUAUACGAUAAAGACGGACAAGAAAACGACCGUAUGGAGGUGCUGCAAGAGAAAUGGUUCCCUGACUUGUCCUGCAACGGUGAUUCAGGAUGGUACCGACUUCAAGAAAGGUUUGAAAGAGCAUAUUCACCCAGCAGAACCUGGUAUAUUGACUGCUGCUAAAAUUAAAGUAACGGCUAAGAAGGAAGCCAUAGGAAAUAUUUUUACAAGAUCCUGUCCAUCAAUCGCAGAGAGUGUCAUGGCAAGUGUAGGAUCGGUCAACGAACCAGUGUAUAGCAGACCACCUCUUGCAGCAUUGAUAAGACAGCGUACAACGAAAAGGGGGACGUGUUUAAUUAUUUGAGGCGAUUGAUGGCUCUCCCUUUCCUGCCCGAAGAACACGUGGCGGGCAUGUUUGCCCAUUUGAAAGACAGGUGCCCAGAACAGUUAGAGCCGAUAUGUACAUACAUAGAAGAUCAAUGGAUUUCAUCUCGUCUGUUUCCAAUAGAAGAUUGGUGCGUGUUUAUGUUGCCAGUGAGAACCAAUAACGACGUGGAGGGCUGGCACAACAGACUAAAUUCCCGUGUCAACGCCAGAGGUCCUGUGCCAUUUUAUCUAUUGAUUUGCGCACUUUUUUCAGAAGCUACAAAGAUACCACUGGACCUCACAAUGAUGUCGGAAGGUUCAUUGAGACGACACCAAAGACGUCGGUAUCGACAUGUAGAAGGCCAACUUUUUAAUAUAUGGGAUUCAUACAAUGAAAAACAGAUGAGCACUAGUAGACUAUUAAAAAAAAUAAGUCAUUUGUAUGGUCCACCCGCUCAGUGAAAAACAAUUACAUAAUUAAAAAAAUGAAAAAAAAAAAAAAAAAAAAUGAAUAGCCGACUAAAGCUAUUUUUUCAUCAAAUAAAUACACGUGUUGUUAUAAAUGUUGCGUUAAUGUAUGAAUGUGUAUGUAUUUAUACAAUAAAUGAAUGUUUUAUAUGACCGUUGUUAUCGCUAUAUGGUAUGUUUAAAAAUAAAAUAAUAUGCCCGUUGUUAUAAAUCGAUGUUAUCAUUUUAUGCUAUGUUGAUAAAUAAAAUAGUUUAUAAAGUAAAUUGGCGUCAGUGUGUUGUAUAAUUCUAUCUUACCUACCCGAGUCCGAAACGUCACCUACCCGAGUCCGAAACGUCACCUACCCGAGUCCGAAAUGUCACCUACCCGAGUCCGAAAUGUCGGGGACAUAUUUUUUGGAGUCCGAAAUGACGUAAGUCCGAAAUGACGCGGGACCGAAAUGACAUGU
Molecule: long non-coding RNA, 2757 nt
Organism: Patella vulgata (common limpet)
Lineage: Eukaryota; Metazoa; Mollusca; Gastropoda; Patellidae
Exons: 4
Source: RefSeq, a predicted model, not a curated record